This 494-nucleotide ribosomal RNA is filed under the name uncultured bacterium. RNAcentral describes it as "partial 16S ribosomal RNA". It matches the Rfam family "Bacterial small subunit ribosomal RNA", at positions 30 to 507 of the family's 1533-position model. The record is from RNAcentral.
AUUGAACGCUGGCGGCAUGCUUUACACAUGCAAGUCGAACGGCAGCGGGGAGGAGCUUGCUUCUCUGCCGGCGAGUGGCGAACGGGUGAGUAAUACAUCGGAACGUGUCGAGAAGAGGGGGAUAACCACCCGAAAGGGUGGCUAAUACCGCAUAAAUUCUGAGGAAGAAAGCUGGGGACCUAGGAAUAGGCCUAGCGCUUUUUGAGCGGCCGAUGUCGGAUUAGCUAGUUGGUGAGGUAAAGGCUCGCCAAGGCGAAGAUCUGUAGCGGGUCUGAGAGGAUGAUCCGCCACACUGGGACUGAGACACGGCCCAGACUCCUACGGGAGGCAGCAGUGGGGAAUUUUGGACAAUGGGGGCAACCCUGAUCCAGCCAUGCCGCGUGUAUGAAGAAGGCCUUAGGGUUGUAAAGUACUUUUGUUAGGGAAGAAAAGUCAGCUGUGAAUAAUGGCUGAUACUGACGGUACCUAAAGAAUAAGCACCGGCUAACUACGUG